RNAcentral lists this ribosomal RNA (490 nucleotides) under uncultured bacterium. RNAcentral describes it as "partial 16S ribosomal RNA". It matches the Rfam family "Bacterial small subunit ribosomal RNA", at positions 30 to 507 of the family's 1533-position model. The record is from RNAcentral.
AUUGAACGCUGGCGGCAGGCCUAACACAUGCAAGUCGAACGGUAACAGGAAGCAGCUUGCUGCUUCGCUGACGAGUGGCGGACGGGUGAGUAAUGUCUGGGAAGCUGCCUGAUGGAGGGGGAUAACUACUGGAAACGGUAGCUAAUACCGCAUAAUGUCGCAAGACCAAAGAGGGGGACCUUCGGGCCUCUUGCCAUCGGAUGUGCCCAGAUGGGAUUAGCUUGUUGGUGGGGUAACGGCUCACCAAGGCGACGAUCCCUAGCUGGUCUGAGAGGAUGACCAGCCACACUGGAACUGAGACACGGUCCAGACUCCUACGGGAGGCAGCAGUGGGGAAUAUUGCACAAUGGGCGCAAGCCUGAUGCAGCCAUGCCGCGUGUAUGAAGAAGGCCUUCGGGUUGUAAAGUACUUUCAGCGGGGAGGAAGGGAGUAAAAUUAAUACCUUUGCUCAUUGACGUUACCCGCAGAAGAAGCACCGGCUAACUCCGUG